Molecule: ribosomal RNA, 553 nt
Filed under: uncultured bacterium
Lineage: Bacteria
Description: bacterial SSU rRNA
Rfam family: Bacterial small subunit ribosomal RNA
Source: RNAcentral
CAAGCCUGAUCCAGCCAUGCCGCGUGAGUGAAGAAGGUCCGUUCGGGUUAGUAAAGCUCUUUCAGCCGGGAAGAAACGCAGUAGGGUUAAUACCCUGUGUGGAUGACGUACCGGAAUAAGAAGCACCGGCUAACUACGUGCCAGCAGCCGCGGUAAUACGUAGGGUGCGAGCGUUAAUCGGAAUUACUGGGCGUAAAGCGUGCGCAGGCGGUUUUGUUAAGAUAGGCGUGAAAUCCCCGGGGCUCAACCUGGGAACUGCGUUUAUGACUGGCAGGCUAGAGUAUGGCAGAGGGGGGUGGAAUUCCACGUGUAGCAGUGAAAUGCGUAGAGAUGUGGAGGAACACCGAUGGCGAAGGCAGCCCCCUGGGCCAAUACUGACGCUCAUGCACGAAAGCGUGGGUAGCAAACAGGAUUAGAUACCCUGGUAGUCCACGCCCUAAACGAUGUCAACUAGGUGUUGGGAGGGUAAAACCUUUUAGUACCGGAGCUAACGCGUGAAGUUGACCGCCUGGGGAGUACGGCCGCAAGGUUAAAACUCAAAGGAAUUGACGGG